This 73-nucleotide transfer RNA is filed under the name Canis lupus familiaris (dog). It matches the Rfam family "tRNA". From Rfam's summary of the family: Transfer RNA (tRNA) molecules are approximately 80 nucleotides in length. Their secondary structure includes four short double-helical elements and three loops (D, anti-codon, and T loops). The record is from Rfam by way of RNAcentral. Lineage: Eukaryota; Metazoa; Chordata; Mammalia; Carnivora; Canidae. RNAcentral also lists the same sequence under 1 other name.
GCCUGGCUGGCUCAGUUAGUAGAGCAUAUGACUCUUGAUCACAGGGUCAUGAGUUUAAGACCUAUGCUAGGCA